RNAcentral lists this long non-coding RNA (2430 nucleotides) under Brassica napus (rape). RNAcentral's name for it is "long non-coding RNA (BNAP_LNC016380)". The record is from RNAcentral. Lineage: Eukaryota; Viridiplantae; Streptophyta; Magnoliopsida; Brassicales; Brassicaceae.
AUGGGUUUUAGUAGAAUAAUUUAAUACUUUCAUUGUACAAAUUAAAAAACUUUGUUAGUUAUCACAUACAUUCAAUUAGGAUAAUCAUAACAUAAAAACAAGUACAGACCACCCGAGUCUAGAUUAUCAAGAACAAGAAAGCAUUAUAUGUCUGGUUUUGUACCCCCAUCAACUUAAGAUUCUCUUGAACAUAGGCAACACACAAGUUUACACAUACAUAGCAUAAGAGAUCCAAGUACUUCAAGAAAGCAUAGGAUCGGAUAAAUCGGAAAAUACAUCAUCGUUUUUUGAAACCAUAUUUCUUACGUUCAUAGAAGAGAUCGGUCUUGGCACUCCCAAGGUUGACGAUCUUGGGGCAACCAUCUCUGUCUUUCUCCUGCUGCGUACACUCUUUGCAGUAGUAAGCAUCCGAGAUCCCAACACCUCCGCAGAUAACACAGCGGCCUUGGAAUGACCCGUAGUUGCAUUCGUCACAGAUACGCACCAGAGUGCAGGGACGCACAUAAGAAUCACAAACCACGCAUUUGCCGUCGCAUUUCUCGCACAGUAAUAAUUGUAAUAAUUUAGUUGUGGGUUUCUGUAGUGAUUUAAAAUGAAAGGUCAAUGAAGUUCACAUGAACUAAUUAGUGUGUUAUUCUUUUGUUAUUUGUAUGGGUUCAUCAUGUGUUAUUCUUUUGUUAAUCAGAGUAUGUAUGCAUAUCUAGGGAUAAUUGGUAUCAUGUAAAUACGAAGGAUAAAUAUACAUACAAUUAUUUAUUUUGCUUGUGUAAUUGAGAUUUUCUUGUUUUCUUUAUUAAAAAGGUAAAAACUGUUAAGGCUUUCUUCUUCUCCUGGUGAUAUAUUUGAACAUACUCUUAAGAUAUACACAGAUUUACAGAUAUAGAUCAUGUGACUACCACCACAUAUCACCGAUCAGUGAUCCAAUAAUUGUGGUUGUAAAAUAUUUGAUUCUGAGAUCUCAUCCAAUAACACAUAAAAUAGUAAACUAGAUUAGUUUUAACGUUAAACAAAGAUGAUAUAUGUAGUUAUUAGUGAAGAAAUCCUUAUGAGUUGUUAACAGGAUAUGGAUUAUGAAGAACUUGUUAGCUUAUAUAUAGUGCUUGGAUAUUAGAUAACCAAUACAUAUUACCAUACAAAAAGCUAGUAAACACUUGAAACUAAUAGAGAAACGAAGGGAGGGAAGAAGAGUAUACCUGGAAAUGAAAGACUGAGGCGAGCAGAAGAAGAGACGAAAGCAAAUGUGAAGAAGAGUAACAAACAUAACACAACCGAGGAAGAUGAUGCAUAACCCAUUCUCUCUAUAUAUAUAUUUCUCUCUCUCCUCCCUUCUUCUAUAUAUAUAGACCACAAAAUGUCUCAUACCGGCCCUUCGUUUUCAGCCUUUCUCACUAUUUAAUCAUUUUGAUUUUUAUUAAUAUACCCGCUUCCAAACGUUUAGUUUUUACAUAAUUGCGUUUGAAAGGAACAUAUUCUCUAUAAUCUAAUGGUUUUGUAUUCAAUGCGUGUAUAUGCAUGUGUUUGUUGUUGACAAGCACAAAAACAAGGGAACAUGAUUGCAUUUACAUACGGUAGGUUUGACAAGACUGAAGUGGGAUCCCUUUAAACCAUCAACGAAUUAAAAUUCAUUUUUUCAUUGUAUUGGUUACAACAGAACUCAAAUGCCAGCUUAAAAUCCAACCCAUUGCUAUUUUUGAUUUUAUAAUAGCUUUAGAGGCACAAUGAUUCCAAAUCCAUUACUAUUUCUUAUUCUAAAAUAGAAAUUACUAUUUUUUGCCAAAAAAAAAAUAGAAAUUAUUAUUUUGUCCUCUAUUUAUAGAGGAAGAAAUAACAGUCUCUAUUUUUACUCUAUAUUUUGAAGAUUGCUAUUAUAAAGAAAUACAUUAGAGUAAACUUCACCUUUUUAUAAAGAUUUUCUAUUUUAGAGGCAAAAAUAGCAAAAUACAUUGGUUUUAGUAAUGGGUUUUAGUAGAAUAAUUUAAUACUUUCAUUGUACAAAUUAAAAAACUUUGUUAGUUAUCACAUACAUUCAAUUAGGAUAAUCAUAACAUAAAAACAAGUACAGACCACCCGAGUCUAGAUUAUCAAGAACAAGAAAGCAUUAUAUGUCUGGUUUUGUACCCCCAUCAACUUAAGAUUCUCUUGAACAUAGGCAACACACAAGUUUACACAUACAUAGCAUAAGAGAUCCAAGUACUUCAAGAAAGCAUAGGAUCGGAUAAAUCGGAAAAUACAUCAUCGUUUUUUGAAACCAUAUUUCUUACGUUCAUAGAAGAGAUCGGUCUUGGCACUCCCAAGGUUGACGAUCUUGGGGCAACCAUCUCUGUCUUUCUCCUGCUGCGUACACUCUUUGCAGUAGUAAGCAUCCGAGAUCCCAACACCUCCGCAGAUAACACAGCGGCCUUGGAAUGACCCGUAGUUGCAUUCGUCACA